RNAcentral lists this ribosomal RNA (497 nucleotides) under uncultured bacterium. RNAcentral describes it as "partial 16S ribosomal RNA". It matches the Rfam family "Bacterial small subunit ribosomal RNA", at positions 28 to 507 of the family's 1533-position model. The record is from RNAcentral.
GAUGAACGCUGGCGGCGUGCCUAAUACAUGCAAGUCGAGCGAACGGACGAGAAGCUUGCUUCUCUGAUGUUAGCGGCGGACGGGUGAGUAACACGUGGAUAACCUACCUAUAAGACUGGGAUAACUUCGGGAAACCGGAGCUAAUACCGGAUAAUAUUUUGAACCGCAUGGUUCAAAAGUGAAAGACGGUCUUGCUGUCACUUAUAGAUGGAUCCGCGCUGCAUUAGCUAGUUGGUAAGGUAACGGCUUACCAAGGCAACGAUGCAUAGCCGACCUGAGAGGGUGAUCGGCCACACUGGAACUGAGACACGGUCCAGACUCCUACGGGAGGCAGCAGUAGGGAAUCUUCCGCAAUGGGCGAAAGCCUGACGGAGCAACGCCGAGUGAGUGAUGAAGGUCUUCGGAUCGUAAAACUCUGUUAUUAGGGAAGAACAUAUGUGUAAGUAACUGUGCACAUCUUGACGGUACCUAAUCAGAAAGCCACGGCUAACUACGUG